CCGGAUAUUCGGUUAUGAUCCAACUUAAUAUUAGUUUAUCUUGCUGGAUAUUCGCCGAUGUGGACAAUCCUUCUUCCCCCAAAACGUAUGUCAUCAACUGGAAUCCACGAAGCAUCGUAAAAAACUGUGCCUCCCACGAAAAGUAGUUUGAUUUUUGUAAGAGCACACACCUGAUGACUUUUGUGAAACCUUCGUGUUUGUUGGUUGUGUGAGUGCCUCACCAAUGAUCGCCGGAAUGCCUUACAAUGGUAACUUCAGAAAAGGGGACAUAAGAAAGUGGGUGUAGAUGGUGACAUAACCAAGGGGAGGAUAUGACGCAGGGUCGUUCCCAGGGUGUAGAUGGCUGAAGAAGAAGGAGCGUUUAACUUGUGGAAGCGGAAAGUGGAAACCGAAGAUGAGAGGAAAAAGGAGAGGGGGAGCAUUUAUAGACCCAGGGCACGGAAGUCAAAGCAUUGCGAGUACUUGAGUGGAGAUACGUGCCAUGG
Molecule: long non-coding RNA, 485 nt
Filed under: Zostera marina
Lineage: Eukaryota; Viridiplantae; Streptophyta; Magnoliopsida; Alismatales; Zosteraceae
Description: long non-coding RNA (ZMAR_LNC004863)
Source: RNAcentral